Molecule: ribosomal RNA, 2196 nt
Filed under: Salmonella enterica subsp. enterica serovar Teko
Lineage: Bacteria; Pseudomonadati; Pseudomonadota; Gammaproteobacteria; Enterobacterales; Enterobacteriaceae
Description: partial 23S ribosomal RNA
Rfam family: Bacterial large subunit ribosomal RNA
Source: RNAcentral
AGACCCGAAACCCGGUGAUCUAGCCAUGGGCAGGUUGAAGGUUGGGUAACACUAACUGGAGGACCGAACCGACUAAUGUUGAAAAAUUAGCGGAUGACCUGUGGCUGGGGGUGAAAGGCCAAUCAAACCGGGAGAUAGCUGGUUCUCCCCGAAAGCUAUUUAGGUAGCGCCUCGUGAAUUCAUCUCCGGGGGUAGAGCACUGUUUCGGCUAGGGGGCCAUCCCGGCUUACCAACCCGAUGCAAACUGCGAAUACCGGAGAAUGUUAUCACGGGAGACACACGGCGGGUGCUAACGUCCGUCGUGAAGAGGGAAACAACCCAGACCGCCAGCUAAGGUCCCAAAGUCAUGGUUAAGUGGGAAACGAUGUGGGAAGGCCCAGACAGCCAGGAUGUUGGCUUAGAAGCAGCCAUCAUUUAAAGAAAGCGUAAUAGCUCACUGGUCGAGUCGGCCUGCGCGGAAGAUGUAACGGGGCUAAACCAUGCACCGAAGCUGCGGCAGCGAACGUAUCACCCAAGACAACUUUGCACAGUUAACGAUUGACGGAGCGAAGCGACGUCAAAGCGUUUUACAACGUCGAGUUGGCUUAGGGAUACGUUCGUUGGGUAGGGGAGCGUUCUGUAAGCCUGCGAAGGUGGCCUGUGAGGGUUGCUGGAGGUAUCAGAAGUGCGAAUGCUGACAUAAGUAACGAUAAAGCGGGUGAAAAGCCCGCUCGCCGGAAGACCAAGGGUUCCUGUCCAACGUUAAUCGGGGCAGGGUGAGUCGACCCCUAAGGCGAGGCCGAAAGGCGUAGUCGAUGGGAAACGGGUUAAUAUUCCCGUACUUGGUGUUACUGCGAAGGGGGGACGGAGAAGGCUAUGUUGGCCGGGCGACGGUUGUCCCGGUUUAAGCGUGUAGGUGUGUGUUCCAGGUAAAUCCGGUUCACUUUAACACUGAGGCGUGACGACGAGGCACUACGGUGCUGAAGCAACAAAUGCCCUGCUUCCAGGAAAAGCCUCUAAGCAUCAGGUAACAUCAAAUCGUACCCCAAACCGACACAGGUGGUCAGGUAGAGAAUACCAAGGCGCUUGAGAGAACUCGGGUGAAGGAACUAGGCAAAAUGGUGCCGUAACUUCGGGAGAAGGCACGCUGACACGUAGGUGAAGUGAUUUACUCACGGAGCUGAAGUCAGUCGAAGAUACCAGCUGGCUGCAACUGUUUAUUAAAAACACAGCACUGUGCAAACACGAAAGUGGACGUAUACGGUGUGACGCCUGCCCGGUGCCGGAAGGUUAAUUGAUGGGGUCAGCGCAAGCGAAGCUCCUGAUCGAAGCCCCGGUAAACGGCGGCCGUAACUAUAACGGUCCUAAGGUAGCGAAAUUCCUUGUCGGGUAAGUUCCGACCUGCACGAAUGGCGUAAUGAUGGCCAGGCUGUCUCCACCCGAGACUCAGUGAAAUUGAACUCGCUGUGAAGAUGCAGUGUACCCGCGGCAAGACGGAAAGACCCCGUGAACCUUUACUAUAGCUUGACACUGAACAUUGAGCCUUGAUGUGUAGGAUAGGUGGGAGGCUUUGAAGCGUGGACGCCAGUCUGCGUGGAGCCGGCCUUGAAAUACCACCCUUUAAUGUUUGAUGUUCUAACGUGGACCCGUGAUCCGGGUUGCGGACAGUGUCUGGUGGGUAGUUUGACUGGGGCGGUCUCCUCCUAAAGAGUAACGGAGGAGCACGAAGGUUGGCUAAUCCUGGUCGGACAUCAGGAGGUUAGUGCAAUGGCAUAAGCCAGCUUGACUGCGAGCGUGACGGCGCGAGCAGGUGCGAAAGCAGGUCAUAGUGAUCCGGUGGUUCUGAAUGGAAGGGCCAUCGCUCAACGGAUAAAAGGUACUCCGGGGAUAACAGGCUGAUACCGCCCAAGAGUUCAUAUCGACGGCGGUGUUUGGCACCUCGAUGUCGGCUCAUCACAUCCUGGGGCUGAAGUAGGUCCCAAGGGUAUGGCUGUUCGCCAUUUAAAGUGGUACGCGAGCUGGGUUUAGAACGUCGUGAGACAGUUCGGUCCCUAUCUGCCGUGGGCGCUGGAGAACUGAGGGGGGCUGCUCCUAGUACGAGAGGACCGGAGUGGACGCAUCACUGGUGUUCGGGUUGUCAUGCCAAUGGCACUGCCCGGUAGCUAAAUGCGGAAGAGAUAAGUGCUGAAAGCAUCUAAGCACGAAACUUGCCCCGAG